Molecule: long non-coding RNA, 1127 nt
Organism: Patiria miniata (bat star)
Lineage: Eukaryota; Metazoa; Echinodermata; Asteroidea; Valvatida; Asterinidae
Exons: 3
Source: RefSeq, a predicted model, not a curated record
GAUCUCACCCGUGGCGGUUUUUAUAGAUAGUAAACGUCUCGGUGCUGCAAGAAAAGGUAAACCAUACACUUCAGCUGAGACCCAGAUUUCUUCACCGAAAAAGCUCCGGACAAAGUUCAAGUUUCUUUUAAUUGUCUAUCUACAUAACUGUGUCAUGCUGCACACAAACUCAACCAGGAUUUUGAUUUCGAUGAAAACCUCAAUUCAAGGACAAGCUGCAACAGUACAACAAGCAGAACUUCCGUUGGAGGCCUAAGGGAUGAACGUCAGGAAAAGGGAGAUGUUCUGCGACUGACUGUUCAACCCCGAUCAACAACUUAGUUUCAUGAGAAUGUCCCAGCUUGCUGAACUGUUGGAAUUCUUGAAAUGAUUUAGAAGCCGAAGGAACUGGCCUUGGAUCUCUUUAUAUCGAACUAAUAAGUUGACAUAUCGGCUUAGAAGAGAAUAUCCACAGGUCUCUUUCCUUGAUAUAUGCGACAUCAUCUACACCGCUACUUUAUCUGCUGGAUGUGUGGUUGAAUCUCUGGGGACUUCAGAGGAGGAUUCAAAACUGAAACUUUGGCUUUAGAAAGCAAGACAUACGCUCCAUCCUGUUGUUAUGCCGUUACUGCACAAGAUUUGAUGAGAACUUUGAUGUAGUGAUAACAUUUACUUGAAGUUGUAUUAGCACGACUAGUUAGCAUUUGACAUUAUAAUGAAAAUAAUGAGUAACUCUAGAUUUUUCAAAACUACAUAAUUGUAUCCUUCUGUUCAUUAGUGUUGGUUUUAUUCAUUUUAAUUCUUUUUAAUUAUUAAAAAUUAGUUUCAGUAGAAAGGCAAAUUCUGUGAAUUUUAACAGUGAGACUAGCCACAUAUGACAAGCCAAAUCACUCUCUUUAAUGUGUAAGCAUACAAAAUAGCAUGAGUUAUGGUUUUGUUUUCUUUUUAUUGAUAUACAUGCAAACAUUUUUCGGUGCUAAUCAAUGUAUCAAUAAAUAAAAAGCUGAAAUUUUCUUUGACAAAAGACUGAUCUUAAGGCUUUUCUCCAAACCAAGAUGGCUGUUUUGAUUAGAUAGCAAAUAAAUGUACAAUGGUUGAUUUUUGAAAUUAUUAAACCAGACUCUGACUUCUAUCUGAUGGUCCUUUGA